This 2539-nucleotide ribosomal RNA is filed under the name Escherichia coli. RNAcentral's name for it is "bacterial LSU rRNA". It matches the Rfam family "Bacterial large subunit ribosomal RNA", at positions 406 to 2925 of the family's 2925-position model. The record is from RNAcentral. Lineage: Bacteria; Pseudomonadati; Pseudomonadota; Gammaproteobacteria; Enterobacterales; Enterobacteriaceae.
CGAUGAGUAGGGCGGGACACGUGGUAUCCUGUCUGAAUAUGGGGGGACCAUCCUCCAAGGCUAAAUACUCCUGACUGACCGAUAGUGAACCAGUACCGUGAGGGAAAGGCGAAAAGAACCCCGGCGAGGGGAGUGAAAAAGAACCUGAAACCGUGUACGUACAAGCAGUGGGAGCACGCUUAGGCGUGUGACUGCGUACCUUUUGUAUAAUGGGUCAGCGACUUAUAUUCUGUAGCAAGGUUAACCGAAUAGGGGAGCCGAAGGGAAACCGAGUCUUAACUGGGCGUUAAGUUGCAGGGUAUAGACCCGAAACCCGGUGAUCUAGCCAUGGGCAGGUUGAAGGUUGGGUAACACUAACUGGAGGACCGAACCGACUAAUGUUGAAAAAUUAGCGGAUGACUUGUGGCUGGGGGUGAAAGGCCAAUCAAACCGGGAGAUAGCUGGUUCUCCCCGAAAGCUAUUUAGGUAGCGCCUCGUGAAUUCAUCUCCGGGGGUAGAGCACUGUUUCGGCAAGGGGGUCAUCCCGACUUACCAACCCGAUGCAAACUGCGAAUACCGGAGAAUGUUAUCACGGGAGACACACGGCGGGUGCUAACGUCCGUCGUGAAGAGGGAAACAACCCAGACCGCCAGCUAAGGUCCCAAAGUCAUGGUUAAGUGGGAAACGAUGUGGGAAGGCCCAGACAGCCAGGAUGUUGGCUUAGAAGCAGCCAUCAUUUAAAGAAAGCGUAAUAGCUCACUGGUCGAGUCGGCCUGCGCGGAAGAUGUAACGGGGCUAAACCAUGCACCGAAGCUGCGGCAGCGACGCUUAUGCGUUGUUGGGUAGGGGAGCGUUCUGUAAGCCUGCGAAGGUGUGCUGUGAGGCAUGCUGGAGGUAUCAGAAGUGCGAAUGCUGACAUAAGUAACGAUAAAGCGGGUGAAAAGCCCGCUCGCCGGAAGACCAAGGGUUCCUGUCCAACGUUAAUCGGGGCAGGGUGAGUCGACCCCUAAGGCGAGGCCGAAAGGCGUAGUCGAUGGGAAACAGGUUAAUAUUCCUGUACUUGGUGUUACUGCGAAGGGGGGACGGAGAAGGCUAUGUUGGCCGGGCGACGGUUGUCCCGGUUUAAGCGUGUAGGCUGGUUUUCCAGGCAAAUCCGGAAAAUCAAGGCUGAGGCGUGAUGACGAGGCACUACGGUGCUGAAGCAACAAAUGCCCUGCUUCCAGGAAAAGCCUCUAAGCAUCAGGUAACAUCAAAUCGUACCCCAAACCGACACAGGUGGUCAGGUAGAGAAUACCAAGGCGCUUGAGAGAACUCGGGUGAAGGAACUAGGCAAAAUGGUGCCGUAACUUCGGGAGAAGGCACGCUGAUAUGUAGGUGAAGUCCCUCGCGGAUGGAGCUGAAAUCAGUCGAAGAUACCAGCUGGCUGCAACUGUUUAUUAAAAACACAGCACUGUGCAAACACGAAAGUGGACGUAUACGGUGUGACGCCUGCCCGGUGCCGGAAGGUUAAUUGAUGGGGUUAGCCGCAAGGCGAAGCUCUUGAUCGAAGCCCCGGUAAACGGCGGCCGUAACUAUAACGGUCCUAAGGUAGCGAAAUUCCUUGUCGGGUAAGUUCCGACCUGCACGAAUGGCGUAAUGAUGGCCAGGCUGUCUCCACCCGAGACUCAGUGAAAUUGAACUCGCUGUGAAGAUGCAGUGUACCCGCGGCAAGACGGAAAGACCCCGUGAACCUUUACUAUAGCUUGACACUGAACAUUGAGCCUUGAUGUGUAGGAUAGGUGGGAGGCUUUGAAGUGUGGACGCCAGUCUGCAUGGAGCCGACCUUGAAAUACCACCCUUUAAUGUUUGAUGUUCUAACGUUGACCCGUAAUCCGGGUUGCGGACAGUGUCUGGUGGGUAGUUUGACUGGGGCGGUCUCCUCCUAAAGAGUAACGGAGGAGCACGAAGGUUGGCUAAUCCUGGUCGGACAUCAGGAGGUUAGUGCAAUGGCAUAAGCCAGCUUGACUGCGAGCGUGACGGCGCGAGCAGGUGCGAAAGCAGGUCAUAGUGAUCCGGUGGUUCUGAAUGGAAGGGCCAUCGCUCAACGGAUAAAAGGUACUCCGGGGAUAACAGGCUGAUACCGCCCAAGAGUUCAUAUCGACGGCGGUGUUUGGCACCUCGAUGUCGGCUCAUCACAUCCUGGGGCUGAAGUAGGUCCCAAGGGUAUGGCUGUUCGCCAUUUAAAGUGGUACGCGAGCUGGGUUUAGAACGUCGUGAGACAGUUCGGUCCCUAUCUGCCGUGGGCGCUGGAGAACUGAGGGGGGCUGCUCCUAGUACGAGAGGACCGGAGUGGACGCAUCACUGGUGUUCGGGUUGUCAUGCCAAUGGCACUGCCCGGUAGCUAAAUGCGGAAGAGAUAAGUGCUGAAAGCAUCUAAGCACGAAACUUGCCCCGAGAUGAGUUCUCCCUGACUCCUUGAGAGUCCUGAAGGAACGUUGAAGACGACGACGUUGAUAGGCCGGGUGUGUAAGCGCAGCGAUGCGUUGAGCUAACCGGUACUAAUGAACCGUGAGGCUUAACC